Molecule: long non-coding RNA, 714 nt
Organism: Ipomoea triloba (trilobed morning glory)
Lineage: Eukaryota; Viridiplantae; Streptophyta; Magnoliopsida; Solanales; Convolvulaceae
Exons: 3
Source: RefSeq, a predicted model, not a curated record
CCUUGCAUAAGGGAUUCCAGUUCGGCCAAUUGGGCUAAUGUUGAGAAAUAACACAUUUAAAUGCAAACAACAAUAAAGACAUCAUUUAUUGAGCGUGGCCGGCCAACCUAUCUACCUAUAUAGAUCAAGCACCAUGGGCAUCAGCAAAGACCAGGUUCUUUAAGUCCUCAGGCGAUCAAGAAUAGACGUACCCCAAUAAUCAGUAUGAUCUGACGAACACUUGCAUGGGACCUUCACAAGGUAAGGAAGGCCAGUAACAUCAGCUUCGUUUAAUAGCCUGCCUUUGCCAAUAACGUCUGCAAGCUCUGCUUGAGCUUUUGCUAUUAGCAUCGGGGUUAUUAAGAAGUUCUGUCAUUGCCCACUUUACUGUGUUUGAAGAUGUAUCAGUCCCCAGCCCGCAACAAACAAGUCCUGUUGAUAUAGCAGACAACCAAUUCGGUAUAGUUUUAUGCCAAAAAUACAGGCCAACCAUGCCUGCUGGGAUGUGGCAAAUUUUGCAAGCCACUCAAAUCUUUCCAACAUAUUUGACUCGUGAAUUUAUGUCCACACGUUUCACCGGUACCUGCUAAAUGCAAAUUCAAUUCGGUAUACACAAACUGAUCGAGUCCGACCUCAAUCUUCAUUCCCACCAUAAAUGGAAAACUGAUCUGAAGUGACAUUAUGUUCUUUGUCUUUCCAGUUUCCAUAUAUAAAUGGAAAACCAAAUCCAAAUUA